AACACUUAGAGUUUGAUCCUGGCUCAGGACGAACGCUGGCGGUGCGCUUAAUGCAUGCAAGUCGAACGAGAACGGCGGCUUCGGUCGCUAAGUAAAGUGGCAGACGGCUGAGUAACACGUAAGUAACCAACCCCGGAGCGGGGAAUAAUCAUGAGAAAUCGUGCCUAAUACCCCGUACGUCCCAACAGGCGUUGCCGUUGGGGGAAAGGCUUCGGUCGCUCUGGGACGGGCUUGCGGCCUAUCAGGUAGUUGGUGGGGUAAAGGCCCACCAAGCCGUAGACGGGUACCCGGUGUGAGAGCACGAACGGGCAGAGGGGGACUGAGACACGGCCCCCACUCCUACGGGAGGCAGCAGCAGGGAAUCUUGCGCAAUGGGCGAAAGCCUGACGCAGCGACACCGCGUGGAGGAAGAAGGCUUUCGGGUCGUAAACUCCUUUUCUCGGGGAAGAGAACGGACGGUACCCGAGGAAUAAGCAUCGGCUAACUACGUGCCAGCAGCCGCGGUAAUACGUAGGAUGCGAGCGUUGUCCGGAUUUACUGGGCGUAAAGGGCGAGUAGGCGGCCCGCUAAGUCUCAUGUGAAAUCUCCCGGCUCAACUGGGAGGGGUCAUGAGAAACUGGCAGGCUUGAGGUCAGCAGAGGAAAGCGGAAUUCCCGGAGUAGCGGUGAUAUGCGUAGAUACCGGGAGGAACACCAGAGGCGAAGGCGGCUUUCUGGGCUGCACCUGACGCUGAGGCGCGAAAGCGUGGGGAGCGAACCGGAUUAGAUACCCGGGUAGUCCACGCCCUAAAUGGUGGAUACUAGACAUGGGGGGUAUCGACCCCCUCUGUGUCGUAGUUAACGCGUUAAGUAUCCCGCCUGGGGAGUACGGCCGCAAGGCUAAAACUCAAAGGAAUUGACGGGGGCCCGCACAAGCAGCGGAGCGUG
This 926-nucleotide ribosomal RNA is filed under the name Chloroflexota bacterium. RNAcentral describes it as "bacterial SSU rRNA". It matches the Rfam family "Bacterial small subunit ribosomal RNA", at positions 1 to 941 of the family's 1533-position model. The record is from RNAcentral. Lineage: Bacteria; Bacillati; Chloroflexota.